AUAACCCACUUGAGGUAUUCCAUAACCCGCUUGAGGUACUCCAUAGCCAGCUUGAGGUAUUCCAUAACCCGCUUGAGGUACUCCAUAACCCGCUUGAUGUACUCCAUAGCCAGCUUGAGGUACUCCAUAGCCAGCUUGAGGUACUCCAUAGCCACCUGGAGGUACUCCAUAGCCCCCCUGAGGCUGUCUUAACGGUGGAUGACUUACUGGUGGUGUUAUUAUAGGGGACGCAUCAGGUGAACGCCGGGGGAAUUCAACUCCAGAACGCUGCAACAUGUAACAGAAACCUUGAGAAUAAGAAUACCAUGCAAAUGAGCAUCUCAGUAAAAUGCCAUAUAUAUCGAGAUCUGAAUAUACAGUACUUCAAUUUAGA
RNAcentral lists this long non-coding RNA (373 nucleotides) under Arabidopsis lyrata. RNAcentral's name for it is "long non-coding RNA (ALYR_LNC002137)". Lineage: Eukaryota; Viridiplantae; Streptophyta; Magnoliopsida; Brassicales; Brassicaceae. The record is from RNAcentral.